Molecule: ribosomal RNA, 1125 nt
Filed under: Triticum aestivum (bread wheat)
Lineage: Eukaryota; Viridiplantae; Streptophyta; Magnoliopsida; Poales; Poaceae
Description: partial small subunit ribosomal RNA
Source: RNAcentral
AUGUCCAAGUCGCCCGCCGCCGAUCAGUCCUCCUCAUCGGCCGCCGCGAUGACCACGUCCUCUGCCCUCGCCCUCACCGUGUCCGCCCCCGUCAUCGCGCCACCAUCGGCAUCGGCUCCCGCUCCCAUCCUUCCGCCCAUCGCGGUCUCUCUCGACCGCAGUAAUUUCAUGCUGUGGAGGGCUCUCGCUCUCCCCAACUUCGCCGGCGUACGCCUCCACGGGUUCCUCGAUGGCUCGGCCAAGGCGCCGGAGCCGACCGUGACGACAGGCACCGGUGACACCGCUCGUACCAUCACCAACCCCGAAUACGAGCAGUGGUGGACUCUUGAUCAAAAGGUCCUCGGGCAUCUCCUUGGCUCCAUGAGCAUGGAGAUAUCCGCGCAGUUGAUCGGCUGCAGGACGGUGGCUGCUGCAUGGGCUGCUGUGCACACCAUGUUCACCGCCGAGAACAGCGCCGGCGUGCGCAACCUUCGGCGCCAGAUCCAGGCGCUACGCAAAGGAGAUAGACCCGCCGGCGAGUACAUGCAGAAGGUUAAAUCUCUCGCCGACUCGAUGGCCGCCGCCGGUUCUCCUCUUCGUGAUGACGAGAUCAUCGACUACAUGCUGACCGGGCUCGGCUCGGCGUUCAACCCCAUCGCUGCUUCGAUGAACUUCGCCGGCGUGCCGAUCACGUUUCCGGCGUUCUACUCCAACGUCCUCCACUACGAGGCCCUACAGCAGCAGCAAUCGGAAGUUGAGGACUGGCAGUCCUCCGCAAACGCCGCCUCUCGGUCGGCCUACCACGAUCACGCCGGUCGUGUGCCCGAUUUCGGACGCCCAAGUGGCGGCCGCUCCUCCGCCGCCUCUCUUCCGCCUGGAUCGGUGAGCUACGGCUCCGCCCAGGGCGGUGCCCCUGGCCGUAACAACGGCAACACCGGCGGCAACGGCCGCAAUGGAGGAGGCAAUGGGGUGGCCGCCGUCGCUGGCGCCCUAGGUGCCAGAUAUGCAAGAACUGGGGGCAUGAGGCGACGGACUGUCGCGGCCGCUAUGACCGCGACCACCGCGCCGCCAACUCUGCCUCCAACUCCACCUCCACGCAUGAACCACCGCACUGGAUCCUGGACACCGGUGCGACGGAUCACCUGA